CAAUAGCGUAUAUUUAAGUUGUUGCAGUUAAAAAGCUCGUAGUUGGAUUUCGGGUGGGACGCAGCGGUCUCGCAUUGCGUUUGUACUGCUGCAGCCCUCCUUCUUGCCGGGGGCGGCCUCUCGGACUUCACUGUCUGGGGGUCAGAAUCGGCGAUGUUACUUUGAGUAAAUUAGAGUGUUCAAAGCAAGCUUACGCUCUGAAUAUAAUAGCAUGGGAUAACACGACAGGACUCUGGCCUAUCGUGUUGGUCUAUAGGACCAGAGUAAUGAUUAAGAGGGACAGUCGGGGGCAUUCGUAUUCCGUUGUCAGAGGUGAAAUUCUUGGAUUUACGGAAGACGAACAUCUGCGAAAGCAUUUGGCAAGGAUGUUUNCAUUG
RNAcentral lists this ribosomal RNA (377 nucleotides) under uncultured eukaryote. RNAcentral's name for it is "partial 18S ribosomal RNA". It matches the Rfam family "Eukaryotic small subunit ribosomal RNA", at positions 592 to 975 of the family's 1831-position model. The record is from RNAcentral.